GGUGGCUCAGGGACUGACGGUGCCAAACAAGGUGCAGCGAUCGGGCUAGGACUCGGUGUGCUUUCUAAUGGUAGAA
This 76-nucleotide transfer RNA is filed under the name Shewanella piezotolerans WP3. RNAcentral's name for it is "tRNA-Lys". The record is from RNAcentral. Lineage: Bacteria; Pseudomonadati; Pseudomonadota; Gammaproteobacteria; Alteromonadales; Shewanellaceae.